This 220-nucleotide ribosomal RNA is filed under the name Cucumis anguria (gherkin). Lineage: Eukaryota; Viridiplantae; Streptophyta; Magnoliopsida; Cucurbitales; Cucurbitaceae. The record is from RNAcentral.
UCGAUGCCUAAACAUCAAACGACCCGCGAACGCGUUUAAAAACAAACUGAACGCGUCGGGGGCGGGGGGAAAAGCAUGCUCUCUGCCUGCCUCCUCCCCUCCCGGCGUGUCUUAAACAAAACCCCGGCGCAGGUCGCGCCAAGGAACUUGAAUUGAAUUCGCCUGCCCCCUGCCCCGGCCUCGGCGUGCGGGGGGCGGAGCAUUCUAGUCGUAUUACUCA